This 248-nucleotide ribosomal RNA is filed under the name uncultured Planctomycetales bacterium. Its description in RNAcentral is "partial 16S ribosomal RNA". It matches the Rfam family "Bacterial small subunit ribosomal RNA", at positions 434 to 674 of the family's 1533-position model. Lineage: Bacteria; Pseudomonadati; Planctomycetota; Planctomycetia; Planctomycetales. The record is from RNAcentral.
GUCGGGAGUUAGGAAAUGUCUACGGAUGAAUACUCCGUAGAUUUGACAAAAGCUCCUAAAGAAGCCACGGCUAAAUUCGUGCCAGCAGCCGCGGUGAGACGGAUGUGGCGAGCGUUAUUCGGAAUUACUGGGCUUGAAGCGCGCGUAGGCGGUAAGGCAAGCAGGGGGUGAAAUCCCUCGGCUCAACCGAGGAAUUGCCUUCUGAACUAUCUUACUCGAGUGCGGAUGGGGAGAGUGGAACUUCUGGU